AAAUUGAAGAGUUUGAUCAUGGCUCAGAUUGAACGCUGGCGGCAGGCCUAACACAUGCAAGUCGAACGGUAACAGGAAGCAGCUUGCUGCUUUGCUGACGAGUGGCGGACGGGUGAGUAAUGUCUGGGAAACUGCCUGAUGGAGGGGGAUAACUACUGGAAACGGUGGCUAAUACCGCAUAACGUCGCAAGACCAAAGAGGGGGACCUUCGGGCCUCUUGCCAUCAGAUGUGCCCAGAUGGGAUUAGCUAGUUGGUGAGGUAACGGCUCACCAAGGCGACGAUCCCUAGCUGGUCUGAGAGGAUGACCAGCCACACUGGAACUGAGACACGGUCCAGACUCCUACGGGAGGCAGCAGUGGGGAAUAUUGCACAAUGGGCGCAAGCCUGAUGCAGCCAUGCCGCGUGUAUGAAGAAGGCCUUCGGGUUGUAAAGUACUUUCAGCGGGGAGGAAGGUGUUGUGGUUAAUAACCGCAGCAAUUGACGUUACCCGCAGAAGAAGCACCGGCUAACUCCGUGCCAGCAGCCGCGGUAAUACGGAGGGUGCAAGCGUUAAUCGGAAUUACUGGGCGUAAAGCGCACGCAGGCGGUCUGUCAAGUCGGAUGUGAAAUCCCCGGGCUCAACCUGGGAACUGCAUUCGAAACUGGCAGGCUUGAGUCUUGUAGAGGGGGGUAGAAUUCCAGGUGUAGCGGUGAAAUGCGUAGAGAUCUGGAGGAAUACCGGUGGCGAAGGCGGCCCCCUGGACAAAGACUGACGCUCAGGUGCGAAAGCGUGGGGAGCAAACAGGAUUAGAUACCCUGGUAGUCCACGCCGUAAACGAUGUCUACUUGGAGGUUGUGCCCUUGAGGCGUGGCUUCCGGAGCUAACGCGUUAAGUAGACCGCCUGGGGAGUACGGCCGCAAGGUUAAAACUCAAAUGAAUUGACGGGGGCCCGCACAAGCGGUGGAGCAUGUGGUUUAAUUCGAUGCAACGCGAAGAACCUUACCUGGUCUUGACAUCCACAGAACUUUCCAGAGAUGGACUGGUGCCUUCGGGAACUGUGAGACAGGUGCUGCAUGGCUGUCGUCAGCUCGUGUUGUGAAAUGUUGGGUUAAGUCCCGCAACGAGCGCAACCCUUAUCCUUUGUUGCCAGCGGUCCGGCCGGGAACUCAAAGGAGACUGCCAGUGAUAAACUGGAGGAAGGUGGGGAUGACGUCAAGUCAUCAUGGCCCUUACGACCAGGGCUACACACGUGCUACAAUGGCGCAUACAAAGAGAAGCGACCUCGCGAGAGCAAGCGGACCUCAUAAAGUGCGUCGUAGUCCGGAUUGGAGUCUGCAACUCGACUCCAUGAAGUCGGAAUCGCUAGUAAUCGUGGAUCAGAAUGCCACGGUGAAUACGUUCCCGGGCCUUGUACACACCGCCCGUCACACCAUGGGAGUGGGUUGCAAAAGAAGUAGGUAGCUUAACCUUCGGGAGGGCGCUUACCACUUUGUGAUUCAUGACUGGGGUGAAGUCGUAACAAGGUAACCGUAGGGGAACCUGCGGUUGGAUCACCUCCUUACCUUAAAGAA
Molecule: ribosomal RNA, 1552 nt
Filed under: Salmonella enterica subsp. enterica serovar Stanleyville
Lineage: Bacteria; Pseudomonadati; Pseudomonadota; Gammaproteobacteria; Enterobacterales; Enterobacteriaceae
Description: bacterial SSU rRNA
Rfam family: Bacterial small subunit ribosomal RNA
Source: RNAcentral